RNAcentral lists this ribosomal RNA (427 nucleotides) under uncultured bacterium. RNAcentral's name for it is "partial 16S ribosomal RNA". It matches the Rfam family "Bacterial small subunit ribosomal RNA", at positions 355 to 774 of the family's 1533-position model. The record is from RNAcentral.
UGGGGAAUAUUGGACAAUGGGCGAAAGCCUGAUCCAGCCAUGCCGCGUGUGUGAAGAAGGUCUUCGGAUUGUAAAGCACUUUAAGUUGGGAGGAAGGGUUGUAGAUUAAUACUCUGCAAUUUUGACGUUACCGACAGAAUAAGCACCGGCUAACUCUGUGCCAGCAGCCGCGGUAAUACAGAGGGUGCAAGCGUUAAUCGGAAUUACUGGGCGUAAAGCGCGCGUAGGUGGUUAGUUAAGUUGGAUGUGAAAUCCCCGGGCUCAACCUGGGAACUGCAUUCAAAACUGACUGACUAGAGUAUGGUAGAGGGUGGUGGAAUUUCCUGUGUAGCGGUGAAAUGCGUAGAUAUAGGAAGGAACACCAGUGGCGAAGGCGACCACCUGGACUGAUACUGACACUGAGGUGCGAAAGCGUGGGGAGCAAAUA